GGCUCAGGAUGAACGCUAGCGGCAGGCUUAACACAUGCAAGUCGAGGGGCAGCAUGAGGGUUAGCAAUAACUCUUGAUGGCGACCGGCGCAAGGGUGCGUAACGCGUGAGCAACUUGCCCGUUUCUGGGGAAUAACCGGUGGAAACGCCGACUAAUACCCCAUAGUAUUGAUUUCAGGCAUCUGUUAUCAAUUAAAGAAUUUCGGAAACGGAUAGGCUCGCGUGACAUUAGCUAGAUGGCGGGGUAACGGCCCACCAUGGCUACGAUGUCUAGGGGUUCUGAGAGGAAGGUCCCCCACACUGGAACUGAGACACGGUCCAGACUCCUACGGGAGGCAGCAGUGAGGAAUAUUGGUCAAUGGCCGGGAGGCUGAACCAGCCAAGUAGCGUGAAGGAUGAAGGUUCUAUGGAUUGUAAACUUCUUUUAUACGGGAAUAACAUCACCUACGUGUAGGUGCCUGCAUGUACCGUAUGAAUAAGCAUCGGCUAACUCCGUG
Molecule: ribosomal RNA, 496 nt
Filed under: uncultured bacterium
Lineage: Bacteria
Description: bacterial SSU rRNA
Rfam family: Bacterial small subunit ribosomal RNA
Source: RNAcentral